This 414-nucleotide ribosomal RNA is filed under the name Triticum aestivum (bread wheat). RNAcentral describes it as "partial small subunit ribosomal RNA". The record is from RNAcentral. Lineage: Eukaryota; Viridiplantae; Streptophyta; Magnoliopsida; Poales; Poaceae.
AUGUUGAUGGUUGUUCACAGUGUACAUGUACAUCAGAUUGCUCAGCGAUGCUUGGUGUUUUAUUAUGUACCAAGUUAUUUGUCAGACAUACAUAAGCUUGUAUGUUUCUCCCACGAUCUUUUCUUGCACACUGGUUAUUUUUAUAUGGGUCCUUUAGGUACAACGCAUAGCAUGUAUAUUUUUAAACUUCAAAUUUCAAAUAUAUGCCAGAAUAGUAUUAUGUUUUUUCAUUGUAGGUUGAGAAGUUCAAUAAUACAGUACAUGGUUACUUGGAUACUUGGAGAAUAUGGAUCUGUUUGGUUCAGAGCCGAGAGCCGCCGUGCCAAAUUGUUGGCAAAGUGCGUUGGCCAGCAUUUGGAUGGACGCCAACUUUGGUCCUGCUUCAGUUUGCUGCUCCAACUCUUGGUGAGAUGA